CUUCUUGCUCUUCUUUCCUUUCUCAAAGGGUCGAGAACCAGAAGAUGAACCUCCCACUAAGUUCACUGACUCUUUGUGGAGUUGGUGAUCCUUCUCAAAGUUCUGAAGCAACCCCAGUAAUUCGUGGUAGUUUACUUCAGACUUUGUUAUUCUAUAAUGAGUGAGGAAUGGGAGAUAAGACUUGGGCAGCGAGUUCAGUAUUGCAUCUUUCUCAAGCUGCUCAUGCAAGGGAAAGUCGAGCUUG
Molecule: long non-coding RNA, 244 nt
Filed under: Elaeis guineensis (African oil palm)
Lineage: Eukaryota; Viridiplantae; Streptophyta; Magnoliopsida; Arecales; Arecaceae
Description: long non-coding RNA (EGUI_LNC082733)
Source: RNAcentral